Molecule: long non-coding RNA, 1573 nt
Organism: Papio anubis (olive baboon)
Lineage: Eukaryota; Metazoa; Chordata; Mammalia; Primates; Cercopithecidae
Source: Ensembl
AAAAAUGAAGAUCACAGAGUUGUCCCUAAGAUGAAGGGAGAGAAUGAGGCGGCGGGCUGACACAAGUCUAUAGCUGUCGAGGGCUCAGUCAGUAUCAGCGAUUGUACCUGAAGCCACAGUGAGCUGCGCAGAUGUUUUUUCUUCCUUUCCAUAAAAGGAGGGGUCCUUGUAGCUGAGUGAAAACAUGAUGUCCCCUUUCUGCACAGGUUCUGAUCCGUUUCCAUAUCCAGAGGAAUGUGAUUGUGAUCCCCAAGUCUGUGACACCGGCACGCAUUGUUGAGAACAUUCAGGUAAGAUCCCGGCUGGUCGGCCCUGGUAUUCUUCAGGGGAGGGGGACACAGACAGACCCUGUCACUAGGCUUCUCACCUCAUCCCUGCACUGUCUUCUGCCCCCUCUGUUCCCACCACCCUAUCAUUUUCCAGCCCAGGGAUCUAGGCUCAGUAUACCUGAGAUGAAUGACCCAUGGGCUUAGGACAUGCUGGGGACGGUGCCUGCUGAAGCCUUGUCAGGUCUGAGCACAGCUGUGCCUCGCACCACUGAGAAGACCCUCAGUUGCCCCUGAGCAGCUAAGCCCUGGGCCACCACAUGAGCAGACUGUCCUGGCCUCCCUGCUCAUCUUCUGGCAGCAGAGGAGGUGUGAACUGUCCUUGGAGAACUGUCUUCUAGAAGGGCGCAUCAUGGAGCACAGGGCCUGUGCACACCUGGAGCUUAGUGCCUGUGAACCUGUUCUCCCUCCCCCGGAACACUGAGCACUACAAAUACUGCGGUCUUUGUGUAGGACCUAAUUUAGAGAAAAAUUUGUAUCCUGUGGAUAUAAUUGGAAAAACACCUGUGACCAGUUUGUGCUGCUAGAACUUCCUGCUAGAAUGAGCGGCAGUCUCCAGUCACAGCAGUAACGGCCUUACUGAUGAUGUACUGGAACUCCUAUCUUUCCAGGUCUUUGACUUUAAAUUGAGUGAUGACGAGAUGGCAACCAUUCUCACCUUCAACAGAAACUGGAGGGCCUGCAACAUGUUGCAAUCCUCUCAUUUGGAGGACUAUCCCUUCGAUGCAGAAUAUUGAGGUUGAAUCUCCUGGUGACAUUACACAGGGGAUUGUCUUUCUUCGCUGAAGUGUGACUAUCUCCAUCAAGUCCUAUUUUAGCCACGCUUAUCUGAGAUCACAGUGAACUUCAUCCUGUUGUAGACCAGAAUCGAGGUGCUGUUUUAGACAUUUAUUUCUGUAUAUUCAACUAGGAUCAGAAUAUCACAGAAAAACAUGGCUUGAAUAAGCAAAUGACAAUUUUUUCCACUUAUCUGAUCUGAACAAAUGUUUGUUAAGCACAAGAACUCUGCCAACACUGAGGAUGUAAAGAUUAAUAAUAAAAAAAUAAGGAUCGUAACCAACAUGGAUUGAGAGUGGACUAUGUUCCCACACAAUGUGAAGUGUUUUCCUGUGGGUGAAGUUACUGAAUCCUCAAAAUAACCCCACUGAGGUAGGUACUAUUAACAUCUUAGGAGGGAGAGAGGAGGAACUUGUUCAAGACCCCCAGGUAAUAAGUGACUGAACCAAGUUUAAAGGCAGGCAGGCUCU